RNAcentral lists this transfer RNA (71 nucleotides) under Patescibacteria group bacterium. RNAcentral describes it as "tRNA-Gly". It matches the Rfam family "tRNA". From Rfam's summary of the family: Transfer RNA (tRNA) molecules are approximately 80 nucleotides in length. Their secondary structure includes four short double-helical elements and three loops (D, anti-codon, and T loops). The record is from RNAcentral.
GCGGGUAUGGUUCAGUGGUAGAACGUGUCCUUCCCAAGGAUAAGGCAGGGUUUCGAUUACCCUUACCCGCA